CCUACGGGGGGCAGCAGUGGGGAAUAUUGCACAAUGGGGGAAACCCUGAUGCAGCGACGCCGCGUGAGCGAUGAAGUAUUUCGGUAUGUAAAGCUCUAUCAGCAGGGAAGAAAAUGACGGUACCUGACUAAGAAGCCCCGGCUAACUACGUGCCAGCAGCCGCGGUAAUACGUAGGGGGCAAGCGUUAUCCGGAUUUACUGGGUGUAAAGGGAGCGUAGACGGCAAUGCAAGCCAGAUGUGAAAGCCCGGGGCUCAACCCCGGGACUGCAUUUGGAACUGUUAUUCUAGAGUAUGGGAGAGGUAG
This 305-nucleotide ribosomal RNA is filed under the name uncultured bacterium. RNAcentral describes it as "bacterial SSU rRNA". It matches the Rfam family "Bacterial small subunit ribosomal RNA", at positions 338 to 660 of the family's 1533-position model. The record is from RNAcentral.